GAAGUGGAGUGGUGAGGCGGGC
RNAcentral lists this small RNA (22 nucleotides) under Arabidopsis thaliana (thale cress). Lineage: Eukaryota; Viridiplantae; Streptophyta; Magnoliopsida; Brassicales; Brassicaceae. The record is from RNAcentral.